GACGAACGCUGGCGGCGUGCCUAACACAUGCAAGUCGAACGAGGUCCAGGGAAGCUUGCUUCCUGAAGACCUAGUGGCGAACGGGUGAGUAACACGUGAGAAACCUGCCUCGGAGUGGGGAAUAACUCGGGGAAACUCGAGCUAAUACCGCAUACCUUCACAUGAUCGCAUGGUCGAGUGAAGAAAGAAUUUCGCUCUGAGAGGGUCUCGCGGCCUAUCAGCUUGUUGGUGGGGUAACGGCCUACCAAGGCAACGACGGGUAGCUGGUUUGAGAGAACGAUCAGCCACACUGGGACUGAGACACGGCCCAGACUCCUACGGGAGGCAGCAGUGGGGAAUCUUGCGCAAUGGGCGAAAGCCUGACGCAGCAACGCCGCGUGCGGGAUGACGGCCUUCGUGGUUGUAAACCGCUUUCAGCAGGGACGAAAAUGACGGUACCUGCAGAAGAAGCCCCGGCUAACUACGUGCCAGCAGCCGCGGUAAU
This 484-nucleotide ribosomal RNA is filed under the name uncultured bacterium. RNAcentral describes it as "bacterial SSU rRNA". It matches the Rfam family "Bacterial small subunit ribosomal RNA", at positions 28 to 524 of the family's 1533-position model. The record is from RNAcentral.